RNAcentral lists this ribosomal RNA (497 nucleotides) under uncultured bacterium. Its description in RNAcentral is "partial 16S ribosomal RNA". It matches the Rfam family "Bacterial small subunit ribosomal RNA", at positions 28 to 507 of the family's 1533-position model. The record is from RNAcentral.
GAUGAACGCUGGCGGCGUGCCUAAUACAUGCAAGUCGAGCGAACAGACGAGGAGCUUGCUCCUCUGACGUUAGCGGCGGACGGGUGAGUAACACGUGGAUAACCUACCUAUAAGACUGGGAUAACUUCGGGAAACCGGAGCUAAUACCGGAUAAUAUAUUGAACCGCAUGGUUCAAUAGUGAAAGACGGUUUUGCUGUCACUUAUGGAUGGAUCCGCGCCGCAUUAGCUAGUUGGUAAGGUAACGGCUUACCAAGGCGACGAUGCGUAGCCGACCUGAGAGGGUGAUCGGCCACACUGGAACUGAGACACGGUCCAGACUCCUACGGGAGGCAGCAGUAGGGAAUCUUCCGCAAUGGGCGAAAGCCUGACGGAGCAACGCCGCGUGAGUGAUGAAGGUCUUCGGAUCGUAAAACUCUGUUAUUAGGGAAGAACAAAUGUGUAAGUAACUAUGCACGUCUUGACGAUACCUAAUCAGAAACCCACGGCUAACUACGUG